RNAcentral lists this unclassified non-coding RNA (250 nucleotides) under Hevea brasiliensis (rubber tree). Lineage: Eukaryota; Viridiplantae; Streptophyta; Magnoliopsida; Malpighiales; Euphorbiaceae. The record is from RNAcentral.
UGAUCUUGAAGGAACAAGCAUGUGAAAUUUGAAGAAAAAGGAAGAAAGUUAAAUCUUGUCAAUUAAGAGUUCAUAUUUCCAGCUGUAAAUGAGAAAGUAACCGAAACUUUCAGCCAAACUUUAUGGGUCAUUUCAGCCAAAGUUCCAUUCCUUACCAUCAACGGAUGCUACUUGGGAGAACAGAAGUUAUAUUCAGUCCAAUUUCAUGAAUUUUCACAUUAAUAGAUCUAGAAAUAUGUGUAAUAGAUGG